CAAGCGCGUGCUAAGUGGGAAAGGAUGUGGAGUCGCAUAGACAGCCAGGAGGUUGGCUCAGAAGCAGCCAUCCUUGAAAGAGUGCGUAACAGCUCACUGGUCUAGUGGUUCCGCGCCGACAAUGUAGCGGGGCUCAAGCACGCCACCGAAGACGCGGACGUCAGCUUGUCUGGCGUGGUAGGAGAGCGUCCCUUGAGGGUCGAAGCCGCCGGGGAACCGUGUGGUGGACUUCAGGGGAGUGAGAAUGCAGACAUGAGUAGCGAGAGCAGGGUGAGGAUCCCUGCCGCUGGAUGACCAAGGGUUCCAGGGCCACGUUCGUCGUCCCUGGGUGAGUCGGGUCCUAAGGCGAGGCCGACAGGCGUAGUCGAAUGGAUGAACGGGUCGAUAUUCCCGUACCGGCCGCAUGACCGAUCAGCGGUCCCUUGACCGAUCGCGUGUUUCCAUCGGAUCCGUCCUUCCUUCGGGUUGGUCGGUGAUGUUCGGGUUCGCGCGUGGCGUCCUGGGGUCGAGCGCAUGGAGUGACGCGGACGGGUAGCCGGCCGGGGAGGUGGUUUUCCCUGGUCAAGCGUGCGGCCCCGCCCCCAGGCAAAUCCGGGGGCAGCAUGGGGCGAGGCGUGAUGAUGGGGGCCUUGAUGGCCCGAUAUCCGGUGAUCCCGUCGGCCGAGAAAAGCUUCGGCGCGAGGUGGGCGGCCGCCCGUACCCCAAACCGACACAGGUGGUCAGGUAGAGUAUACCGAAGCGAGCGAGCGAAUCCUGGUCAAGGAACUCGGCAAACCGCUCCCGUGCCUUCGGCAUAAGGGAGACCCCCCGCGGUGGGACGUCCUUGCGGCGUCGAGCGGUGGGGGGUGGCACAAGCCAGGGGGUAGCGACUGUUUACCAAAAACACAGGUGCAUGCCAAGACGCAAGUCGCCGUAUAUGCACUGACGCCUGCCCGGUGCCGGAAGGUUAAGAGGAUCCAUCAGCGCUUUGCGCGAAGUGGUGAAUUCAAGCCCCGGUAAACGGCGGUGGUAACUAUAACCAUCCUAAGGUAGCGAAAUUCCUUGUCGGGUAAGUUCCGACCUGCACGAAUGGCGUAACGACUUCCCCGCUGUCUCGACCAGGAGCUCGGCGAAAUUGCAGUACGAGUAAAGAUGCUCGUUAAGCGCAGAAGGACGAAAAGACCCCGGGACCUUUACUAUACCUUGGUAUUGGCAUCAGGUGCGGAUUGUGUAGCAUAGGCGGGAGACUGUGAGGCAUGCACGCCAGUGUGUGUGGAGUCGGCCGGUGAAAUACCGCUCUGUCCCCAUCUGAUGCCUAACCCGGACAAGUCAGCCUUGUCGGGGAGAGUGCCUGGCGGGUAGUUUAACUGGGGCGGUUGCCUCCCAAAGAGUAACGGAGGCGCUCAAAGGUCCGCUCGGCCCGGUUGGCAAUCGGGUGUCGAGUGUAAUCGCACAAGCGGGCUUGACUGCGAGAUCGACGGAUCGAGCAGGGACGAAAGUCGGAGAUAGUGAUCCGGUGCCGGCGUACGGACGCGGCAUCGCUCAACGGAUAAAAGGUACCCCGGGGAUAACAGGCUGAUCAUUCCCAAGAGUCCAUAUCGACGGGAUGGUUUGGCACCUCGAUGUCGGCUCGUCGCAUCCUGGGGCUGGAGCAGGUCCCAAGGGUUCGGCUGUUCGCCGAUUAAAGCGGCACGCGAGCUGGGUUCAGAACGUCGUGAGACAGUUUGGUCUCUAUCCUCUGCGCUCGUUGGAAUCCUGAGGAGGCCUGCCCAUAGUACGAGAGGACCUGGGUGGACGAACCUCUGGUAUGCCGGUUGUCGCGCCAGCGGCACGGCCGGUUGGCUACGUUCGGGAGGGAUAACCGCUGAAAGCAUCUAAGCGGGAAGCCCGCUCCAAGAUAAGGAUUCCUGACACCCCUCCGGGGGUGUGUGAGACCCCACAUGAGACCAUGUGGUCGAUAGACCGGACGUGGAAGCCCCGCAAGGGGUGGAGCCGACCGGCACUAACGGUCGAAGACGACCCCCA
This 2004-nucleotide ribosomal RNA is filed under the name Bifidobacterium choerinum. Its description in RNAcentral is "bacterial LSU rRNA". It matches the Rfam family "Bacterial large subunit ribosomal RNA", at positions 1049 to 2925 of the family's 2925-position model. Lineage: Bacteria; Bacillati; Actinomycetota; Actinomycetes; Bifidobacteriales; Bifidobacteriaceae. The record is from RNAcentral.